RNAcentral lists this ribosomal RNA (539 nucleotides) under uncultured bacterium. RNAcentral's name for it is "bacterial SSU rRNA". It matches the Rfam family "Bacterial small subunit ribosomal RNA", at positions 356 to 896 of the family's 1533-position model. The record is from RNAcentral.
GAGGAAUAUUGGUCAAUGGGCGAGAGCCUGAACCAGCCAAGUAGCGUGCAGGAUGACGGCCCUCCGGGUUGUAAACUGCUUUUAGUUGGGAAUAAAAAAAGGGACUUGUCCCUUCUUGUAUGUACCUUCAGAAAAAGGACCGGCUAAUUCCGUGCCAGCAGCCGCGGUAAUACGGAAGGUCCAGGCGUUAUCCGGAUUUAUUGGGUUUAAAGGGAGCGUAGGCGGAUUGUUAAGUCAGCGGUUAAAGGGUGUGGCUCAACCAUGCAUUGCCGUUGAAACUGGCGAUCUUGAGUGCAGACAGGGAUGCCGGAAUUCGUGGUGUAGCGGUGAAAUGCUUAGAUAUCACGAAGAACUCCGAUCGCGAAGGCAGGUGUCCGGACUGCAACUGACGCUGAGGCUCGAAAGUGUGGGUAUCAAACAGGAUUAGAUACCCUGGUAGUCCACACAGUAAACGAUGUAUACUCGCGGUUUGCGAUAGACAGUAAGCCGCCAAGCGAAAGCAUUAAGUAUACCACCUGGGGAGUACGCCGGCAACGGUG